UACGUAAGUUGCAAGCGUUAUCCGGAAUUACUGGGCAUAAAGGGCAUCUAGGCGGUUUCGCAAGUCAGAAGUGAAAAUUCAGGGCUCAACCCUGUCCUUGCUUUUGAAACUGCGAGACUAGAGUACAGGAGAGGAGGGCGGAACUACAAGUGUAGAGGUGAAAUUCGUAGAUAUUUGUAGGAAUGCCAAUGACGAAGGUAGCUCUCUGGACUGAAACUGACGCUGAAGUGCGAAAGUUAGGGUAGCAAACGGG
RNAcentral lists this ribosomal RNA (253 nucleotides) under uncultured bacterium. RNAcentral's name for it is "partial 16S ribosomal RNA". It matches the Rfam family "Bacterial small subunit ribosomal RNA", at positions 524 to 776 of the family's 1533-position model. The record is from RNAcentral.